CUAUAGAACAGCGGGAAGAGCCUAAAGAUUAGAUUGUGAAAAAAGAAAGUAGAAGCCAUGUUUCGAAGACCUGUAUUUCAGGUACUUCAUCAGUUUGUAAGACAUGAGUCUGAAAUAGCUAGCAGUUUAGUUCUGGAAAGAUCCUUAAAUUGUGUGCAGUUACUUGGGCGAGUGGGUCAGGACCCUGUCAUGAGACAGGUGGAAGGGAAAAAUCCAGUCACAAUAUUUUCUAUAGCAACAAAUGAGAUGUGGGGAUCAGGGGACAGUGAAGUAUACCAAAUGGGUGAUAUCAGUCAAAAGACUACAUGGCACAGAAUAUCAGUAUUCUGGCCAGGCCUCAGAGAUGUGGCCUAUCAGUAUGUGAAAAAGGGAUCUCGAAUUGAUGUUGAAGGGAAAGUAGACUAUGGAGAAUACACGGAUAAAAAUAAUGUGAGGCGACAAGCAACAACAAUCAUAGCUGAUAAUAUUAUAUUUCUGAGUGACCAGGCAAAAGAGAAGGAAUAGAAUGGACGAUUCAACUUUGGUACAGUCUUAUUUCCAAAUCAUGUAUAGUCUUUGUAGUUUCUGAAGAGAAGAAUUAAAAUAUU
This is an RNA transcript of Otolemur garnettii (small-eared galago), 587 nucleotides long. It is a transcript of the gene named single-stranded DNA-binding protein, mitochondrial pseudogene, with no coding region annotated. The transcript has a single exon. NCBI's taxonomy places the organism in Eukaryota, Metazoa, Chordata, Mammalia, Primates, Galagidae. The record is from RefSeq and is a predicted model, not a curated record.